GACGAACGCUGGUGGCGUGCUUAACACAUGCAAGUCGAACGGGAUUUCGUUAACAGAAGCCUCGGCGGAAGAUUACUAAUGAGAGUGGCGAACGGGUAACUAACGCGUGAGCAACCUGCCUACUACAGUGGGAUAGCCUCUGGAAACCGGGAUUAAUACCGCAUAAAAUCGUAGAAACACAUGUUUUAUCGGUCAUAGAUUCAUCGGCCAUAGAUGGGCUCGCGUCUGAUUAGCUAGUUGGGGAGAUAACAGCCCACCAAGGCGACGAUCAGUAGCCGGUCGGAGAGGAGGAACGGCGACAUUGGAACUGAGACACGGUCCCAACUCCUGCGGGAGGCAGCAAUGGGGAAUAUAGCACAAUGAGGGAAACCCUGAGGCAGCGACGGCGCGUGAACGAAGAAGGUAUUGGUAUCGUAAAGUUCUGUCCUAUGGGAAGAUAAUGACGGUACCAAAGAAGGAAGCUCCGGCUAAAUACGUG
This 478-nucleotide ribosomal RNA is filed under the name uncultured bacterium. RNAcentral describes it as "partial 16S ribosomal RNA". It matches the Rfam family "Bacterial small subunit ribosomal RNA", at positions 28 to 507 of the family's 1533-position model. The record is from RNAcentral.